Papaver somniferum (opium poppy) is the source of this 2294-nucleotide long non-coding RNA. RefSeq lists it as uncharacterized. The record is from RefSeq and is a predicted model, not a curated record. The transcript is spliced from 6 exons. Lineage: Eukaryota; Viridiplantae; Streptophyta; Magnoliopsida; Ranunculales; Papaveraceae.
UGUGAUGUCCCGACUUUGCAUAUUUAUACGUGAUUAUUAAAAAGUUAUACGGCAAUUAGUGAUAUACUUAGUACUAAGCAUCCUCUGUCUAGAUUAUCUAUUUUUUCUUUUAAUCAAACAGAAGAUUCCAUCUUACUCUUCAUAACUGGUUUUCUUCCUCCGCAGAGCACACAUCAUCCAUCUUCUUCUUCCUAUUCCUGUUCAUUUCUCUUCUUUGUUUGCUUCAUCUUCUAUUUCUGUUAGUUACAAUCAUCAUUCAAUCUCUUCAAGAGAGGCAGCCAGGGAACUUUAUUUUCAGGAGAGAGCAUUGAAAUCAUCGUAGAUCCAGGUGAUCUUGGAAGGAAAAUCAAAACCUGGGUUUUGGAUUUUGAUGUUCAAAUGUGGUUCCUUUUUGAGUAAUUGGUAGGAGGAUUGAUGAUUUUCUCACAGGUGAUUGUUAGAAGAAUUGGGGUUGUUGAUUUAAGAAAUUAUUAUCUAGUGAAUUGAGAUUAGGGUACGCUUUGGAACAGGAACAAUGUACGCUUUGGAGCAGAUUUUGUGUUGUAAUCAUCUAUUGGAGCUUCUACGGAUGUUAAAUUUAAUUCCAGCAGGUUUCAUUUGGUUGUGUUCUUACUAGUAGCUCUGUUACAAGUUGAGUUGUGUCUUAAAUUUGCAUGUUUCUAAUCUUUGGGAUGUUAUGGGUGUUCCAUUUCUGAAUAUUUUUUGGUGUUAUACAAUUUGGAUUUGUUUUUAUGUGUGUUGCGUAUAUAUCUCGAAUGUGGGCAUGAUAUUGGAGUGUCAAUUGGAAUGUAAUUUGAACUCAGGUAGACAGAGUCCAUUCCAAUGUCCCCUGUGGAGAGUUGCCCGUUGGUGUUUCAAGAUAUUCUCAGCUUACCACAUGUCUCUCAACAUCUUGAAGCUAGAAAAAAUUUUGUCGGAUGAAGAAAUCAUCUUAGAAGAAAUUAAAGAGGACUCAAAAGGUAAACUUGUUGGAACUUAUGUAUGGAUCGUUUGGUUGGUCUAUUGGUACAGUUGUUACAAUGGAUGCUUGCAGCUUCUUUGCAUUUUGGUUGGGUCUUGGCCAGAAUGUUAGGCGUCGAGUGUCCAGAGAGAAAACAGAUGUGAUUUUGAAACUAGUUGUUAAGCAGUUUUUUGUAGAGACAGACGUCACGUCCACUUUGGUAUUGGAUUAUCUCUAUAGUGGUUUAAAGGCUUUUGAAUGCCAUAGUAAGAGUAAUACAAUACAGCUGUAGAAAAGGUAAUGGACGCUGCGGAAUCACUAGCUCCUAUUGUCCAUGUUGCGAAUGGCAUGGUUACCUAGUGGAUGAUGUGUUGUUACUUCUUGAGAGAGCUGUGCUUGAGGUUUUGCCUCCAAGGGAUGAAAAGGGUCCUCAAAACUGUAACGAGGAUGGGAACUCAUGUGAAGAUGCCUAUCACAUUUGGCUCUGUGCUUUUAAAAAUAAAAUAAAACUAUGGAGAUACUUACAUUUCUCAAAGCAGUCAUACGCUCCUGGGGUUUUUGCCUUGAUUUUUCCACAAGUGAAGAUCUUUGGAGAGUGGACAGUGCCUUUGUGUAUCAUUGAUAAGAUACCAACUCACAGAGCUACAGAGAACAACCACAAGCUAUAGACAUUUUUUCAUUAUGCACAAAACAUUGAAACAACUCAACAUACAACAGGUUGCGCAUCCGCAUCAUCCCAUUUUCAGUUGAUAGCAAAACUGCAAUGUUGAAAGGCAUAGAGGGCAAGAAAUAAAAGUCCCGAAUUGUAAGAGUGUGGAGUGUCAAACUAACAUCAGCAUUCUACUAUGUAGGAAUUACCAAUAGGUACUAUUAUAGUGUUCUUAGUUAGUGGCAGGUCCACCCAUUAAAGCCCAGUAACCGGAGGUCCAUAAUUAAAACAAAACAUAAAAAUGGACCAAAUUUUUUAAGCCCAGGUCCUACACACGUGUGUAACCUAUUACGUGCAUUUUAAUAAUUCCUAAAAUGGCCUUCACUAUAAAUAUAACAGAAAUAAAAGCCACAUUUUCUCAAUUUUCUUCUCAGAUCCGUUUUCUCUUGCUCUCCUCUUCUCUGCUGCAGCCGCUUAUGAAGUUUAGACCUAGGGUUUGUGAAGAUGUUUUGUGGUUUUACAGGUUCAAUAUGUCCAACGGAUACAUACUCUAUAUGUAAGCAGUGAGGCAGAUACAUACUUAGAUUUGUACGUAGUGUAGCAGAUAUGUACUCAGAUUUGUAAGCAGUGUACCAGAUAUGUACUCAAAUUUGUAAGCAGUGUAGACACACACGUUUGGUAGUAAUGGGUAUUAUGGACAUUUCC